AUUCUGGGCUCAGUCCAAGAAGUUCAUCCACAUGCCUCAUCAGCGGGCUCUUUGACACCACUUCUCCGGUGUUACUGAGCCUCCACACUGGGGCACUGAGGAAAGUGCUGCUCAGGGGGGGUUCCGCCGUCUUCACCUGUAACUGCCGUGUGUGCCUGCACUUCCCAGGCUCAGACAAGAUCCUUUACCCUGUGGUGGAGAUUCAAGCUCCAGUACAGCCGCGGUGCUUUUCAGGGAGCCUCGCCGCCCGUGGCAGCUGCAGGUCUGUCUGGAAGUUCAGCCAGGGGCUGCCCCCUGAGCCCGGCGGCGGGUGUGGCUGAUGCUGCUGCAGCCCAGCCAGCUGGCUCUGCCCAGGCCCUCGCUUCAGGUCCUUCCUCAUCCCCUCUCUUCAGCGCCCUUGGCAGUUCUACAUCUGGGGUUAUAGUUGUUUCCUUUGGUCCUCCUGGGUGUAUUUCGUUUGCCCUCCAGACGCACCUCUACCUUUACCUUUCUCUUCCCUAAAACCAGCAGGAAGCUGGAAGGCAAAAGGGCUGAGCAUGUCCAUGCAAUGGAGAUGAGAGGUGGAGGGGAAAGACUGGAGCUCUCCUCUGCUUGUUCCUGCCUGGUCUGGGUCCACAUGCUCCACUAAGGAAACCCUCAGCUCCUUCUUGGUGCCUACACCAUCAGCUUCAGAUGCACUGGGUCCAGGAGCUGCUCCCAGACCUCAGGAUUCUGACCACUCAGUGUUGUGGCUAGUGUUGGGGUGCUUACUGCCCCUGCUGGCUUCCUUUAACCCUGCUCACAAAGACAGUUCAUUCAGUUCCUUGUGGCCAUGUCCUUGGAGUGUCCUGUGGAUCCUCAUAGUCUGACCCCAGAAGUUUCAGUUGGUUUCUUUCUCCUGGUGCUCCUGUUGGUUUGAGGGAGGAGACACCCUGCUAUCUGCAACAGCCAAGGACCCGGUGAUCUGAAUGACGUGAGGUUCUGUGGUGUGAUGGUCAACACUCUGGACUUUGAAUUCGGUGACCUGAGUUCAAGUCUCAGUAGGACACACUCAUCUGUGCCUCUUUUGUCCCCUCCAGGGACCCUGCAGGUAAGGACCCGUCUGUUGUUGGGGACACCCCAGCACAUUAGGGAUUUCCUGAUCUUUGUUCUUUUAAUGUUCAUUUUUUCCCCUUUUCCUUUUACAAAAGAAACCCAAAGGGGCUUAUACUAUGUAUUGUUGCAAGAUUUUUCUGUCAGUAAAAAUUUAUUCCACGGUUUGACCACCUGUAGAACCCAACGUUUGGAUGUACAAUUACCUGCCCGGAGCGCCUGCUCUCUCACUGACACCAAUACCUCAUGUCCCGUGCACAUCUCUUGGGCAAAAACCAAGCCAAUGUACAUGUAUAUGCUUAUCUCUGUGUGUAUUUAUAGAUACAACUUGCAUUUCAAUUUAAAAAUAAGACUUCAGUCCUGGUACCUGC
Molecule: non-coding RNA, 1442 nt
Organism: Miniopterus natalensis
Lineage: Eukaryota; Metazoa; Chordata; Mammalia; Chiroptera; Miniopteridae
Source: RefSeq, a predicted model, not a curated record